UACGUAGGGGGCAAGCGUUGUCCGGGUUUACCGGGCGUAAAGAGUGCGCAGGCGGUCGUUCAAGUCGAGUGUGAAAGCCCCCGGCUCAACUGGGGAGGGUCAUUCGAUACUGAUCGACUCGAAGGCAGGAGAGGGAAGUGGAAUUCCCGGUGUAGUGGUGAAAUGCGUAGAUAUCGGGAGGAACACCAGUGGCGAAGGCGACUUCCUGGCCUGUUCUUGACGCUGAGGCGCGAAAGCUAGGGGAGCAAACGGG
RNAcentral lists this unclassified non-coding RNA (253 nucleotides) under uncultured Chloroflexota bacterium. RNAcentral's name for it is "uncultured Chloroflexi bacterium contains 16S-23S intergenic spacer region". It matches the Rfam family "Bacterial small subunit ribosomal RNA", at positions 524 to 776 of the family's 1533-position model. Lineage: Bacteria; Bacillati; Chloroflexota. The record is from RNAcentral.